CAGUGUUGAGUCAAUUUCUGCUGUACAGCAUAGUGUCCCAGUCAUACAUACAUAUACAUUCUUUUUCUCAUAUUAUAUUCCAUUAUGGGGCAGCGCGGGGGUGGAGUUAGGUGGUUUUAGAGGGGCCCAGUGGUUCUGUGAGGCACUGCAGCUGGGGCCCAUGUUCAUGGGGACUUUGGGAUUCUCAGUGGCAAAUGCUGUGGGAGUCCGCAGCAGCAGUCAGGAGUUUCGGGAUCCUGGAUUGUGAAGGCUACUGGGGUUCUCCUGCUUUCUCUUUGAACAAAAGUUUAUUCAAGUCCACAGCCCAUUUGCCCAUUUUUUAUUUGGGUUGUUUGGGUUUUGUUCAUAUGUCGUUUUCAGUUUUCAUUGAAUUAUCUGUGCUCUUGUAGCUCUCUCAACUUCUUUAAAACAAUUGCUUCAAAAUCUUUGUCAAAGACAUCGAUUUCCAUUUUUCUUGUGUCAGUUACUGAGAAUGUAUUCUUUCUUUCAUGGUAUCAUGUUUACCUAAUUUUUUGUUUUCCUGUAGUCUUGUAUUGGUGUCUUCACAUUGGCAGUAGUCCCCUCUUCCAGGCUUUAUUUACAGGCUCCUGUAAGGACAGAUCUUCACUAGCGAGUGGGUGUGAGGGCACUAGUGUUACCACACCAGGUCCAUGUACCUAACCUACUGCAAGCCAGAUGUUGAGAUGCUGAGGUUUACAGCCAAGAAGGUUUAUUCGCAAAACAAGCAAGUGAGGAAAUUAGAAAGUCUCAGAUCUGCCUCCCCAAAGGUGAGGGGGUUGGGGUACUUAUGGGAUAAGCAGGAUGGUGGUAGGCAUGGGGAAAGGUGAUUGGAGACAGGUGAGAAGGUGAGGUAAUUGGUGUUCUGCGCAGGUGUAUCUAGGUUACCUGCUUCUGCAUAUUCAAAAUGAAGGUACUUCAAUUUGAUGGUGGAGUUUUCCCCGCCUCUGACCUCAAAAAGGUCGUACAUCCAGGCAUGCGCAGUUCCAGCUUCAGGGUUGGUAUUCCGAACCAGACCUCAGCCAGGUUGCACAGAGCAGGACCCGACUCCAUGUUCCUGUAAAACUGCUGGGGUGUGUGAAGCUGAAAACUAGUGAGAAAAGAGCCAGGAGAGAAAAGAUUUGGUGCUCUCACAUGAAAUCUUACUGGAGUGUUUGCCAAUGCCGACUCCAAAGGAUAGGCUGCCAUGAUGGAAACUUAAUAAGGGCUUUCUCCCCAACACUGAGCAGGUUAAAGUAGCUCUCUUGGAAGAGGUGAUGUUGAGGACGAUGCCAAAAAGUGGGAGGAAUUUCACCAAGCAAAAUCAGAAGCUGUAUCAUUCUACACAGCAAGGACAAAAUCUACAGAAGUGCAAAAAUGAGAAAGAAUAUUCCAGUUACAAGGGAUGUGCCUGGAGUACAGGGAGUUGGAGAGAGGUGGGAGGAUGGCUCAAACAUGAAAAAAAAAA
This is a non-coding RNA of Sus scrofa (pig), 1444 nucleotides long. NCBI's taxonomy places the organism in Eukaryota, Metazoa, Chordata, Mammalia, Artiodactyla, Suidae. The record is from RefSeq and is a predicted model, not a curated record.